This 440-nucleotide ribosomal RNA is filed under the name uncultured bacterium. RNAcentral describes it as "bacterial SSU rRNA". It matches the Rfam family "Bacterial small subunit ribosomal RNA", at positions 338 to 795 of the family's 1533-position model. The record is from RNAcentral.
CCUACGGGAUGCAGCAGUGGGGAAUCUUGGACAAUGGGCGCAAGCCUGAUCCAGCCAUGCCGCGUGAGUGAAGAAGGCCUUAGGGUUGUAAAGCUCUUUUGGCAGGGACGAUAAUGACGGUACCUGCAGAAUAAGCCCCGGCAAACUUCGUGCCAGCAGCCGCGGUAAUACGAAGGGGGCUAGCGUUGUUCGGAAUUACUGGGCGUAAAGCGCACGUAGGCGGGUCGUUAAGUCAGGGGUGAAAUCCCGGAGCUCAACUCCGGAACUGCCUUUGAUACUGGCGAUCUAGAGAUCGAGAGAGGUGAGUGGGAUUCCGAGUGUAGAGGUGAAAUUCGUAGAUAUUCGGAAGAACAUCAGUGGCGAAGGCGGCUCACUGGCUCGAUACUGACGCUGAGGUGCGAAAGCGUGGGGAGCAAACAGGAUUAGAUACCCGAGUAGUC